CCUACGGGAGGCAGCAGUGAGGAAUAUUGGUCAAUGGCCGAGAGGCUGAACCAGCCAAGUCGCGUGAGGGAAGACGGCCCUACGGGUUGUAAACCUCUUUUGUCGGGGAGCAAAGAGAGUCACGUGUGACUCAUUGCGAGUACCCGAAGAAAAAGCAUCGGCUAACUCCGUGCCAGCAGCCGCGGUUAUACGGGGGAUGCGAGCGUUAUCCGGGGUGAUUGGGGUUAAAGGGUGCGCAGGCGGAGGUGCAAGUCCGCGGUCAAAUUGCGGGGCUCAACCCCGUACUGCCGUUGAAACUGCAUGCCUUGAGUGCGCGAGAGGGAUGCGGAAUGCGUGGUGUAGCGGUGAAAUGCAUAGAUAUCACGCAGAACGCCGAUUGCGAAGGCAGCAUACCGGCGCGCAACUGACGCUCAUGCACGAAAGCGUGGGUAUCGAACAGGAUUAGAUACCCCUGUAGUC
Molecule: ribosomal RNA, 459 nt
Filed under: uncultured bacterium
Lineage: Bacteria
Description: partial 16S ribosomal RNA
Rfam family: Bacterial small subunit ribosomal RNA
Source: RNAcentral